Molecule: ribosomal RNA, 1477 nt
Filed under: Actinomyces oris
Lineage: Bacteria; Bacillati; Actinomycetota; Actinomycetes; Actinomycetales; Actinomycetaceae
Description: bacterial SSU rRNA
Rfam family: Bacterial small subunit ribosomal RNA
Source: RNAcentral
GACGAACGCUGGCGGCGUGCUUAACACAUGCAAGUCGAACGGUGAAGCACCUUCCUUUUGGUGGGUGUGGAUGAGUGGCGAACGGGUGAGUAACACGUGAGUAACCUGCCCCCUUCUUCUGGAUAACCGCAUGAAAGUGUGGCUAAUACGGGAUAUUCUGUGCCUGCUGCAUGGUGGGUGUGGGAAAGAUGCGCCUUUGGGUGUUUUUGGUGGGGGAUGGGCUCGCGGCCUAUCAGCUUGUUGGUGGGGUGAUGGCCUACCAAGGCGGUGACGGGUAGCCGGCCUGAGAGGGUGGACGGUCACACUGGGACUGAGACACGGCCCAGACUCCUACGGGAGGCAGCAGUGGGGAAUAUUGCACAAUGGGCGCAAGCCUGAUGCAGCGACGCCGCGUGAGGGAUGGAGGCCUUCGGGUUGUAAACCUCUUUCGCCAGUGAAGCAGGCCUGCUCCUUGUGGGUGGGUUGACGGUAGCUGGAUAAGAAGCGCCGGCUAACUACGUGCCAGCAGCCGCGGUAAUACGUAGGGCGCGAGCGUUGUCCGGAAUUAUUGGGCGUAAAGAGCUCGUAGGCGGCUGGUCGCGUCUGUCGUGAAAUCCUCUGGCUUAACUGGGGGCUUGCGGUGGGUACGGGCCGGCUUGAGUGCGGUAGGGGAGACUGGAACUCCUGGUGUAGCGGUGGAAUGCGCAGAUAUCAGGAAGAACACCGGUGGCGAAGGCGGGUCUCUGGGCCGUUACUGACGCUGAGGAGCGAAAGCGUGGGGAGCGAACAGGAUUAGAUACCCUGGUAGUCCACGCCGUAAACGUUGGGCACUAGGUGUGGGGGGCCUUUUCCGGGUCUUCCGCGCCGUAGCUAACGCAUUAAGUGCCCCGCCUGGGGAGUACGGCCGCAAGGCUAAAACUCAAAGGAAUUGACGGGGGCCCGCACAAGCGGCGGAGCAUGCGGAUUAAUUCGAUGCAACGCGAAGAACCUUACCAAGGCUUGACAUGUGCCGGUCGGCUCCGGAGACGGGGUUUCCUCCUUUGUGGGGCCGGUUCACAGGUGGUGCAUGGUUGUCGUCAGCUCGUGUCGUGAGAUGUUGGGUUAAGUCCCGCAACGAGCGCAACCCUUGUCCCGUGUUGCCAGCACGUUGUGGUGGGGACUCGCGGGAGACUGCCGGGGUCAACUCGGAGGAAGGUGGGGAUGACGUCAAAUCAUCAUGCCCCUUAUGUCUUGGGCUUCACGCAUGCUACAAUGGCCGGUACAGAGGGCUGCGAUACCGUGAGGUGGAGCGAAUCCCUUAAAGCCGGUCUCAGUUCGGAUCGGUGUCUGCAACUCGACACCGUGAAGUUGGAGUCGCUAGUAAUCGCAGAUCAGCAACGCUGCGGUGGAUACGUUCUCGGGCCUUGUACACACCGCCCGUCACGUCAUGAAAGUCGGCAACACCCGAAGCCCGUGGCCCUACGGGGAGCGGUCGAAGGUGGGGCUGGUGAUUGGGACG